GAUGAACGCUCGCGGCAGGCCUAAUACAUGCAAGUCGGACGGGAUCCAUUGAUAGCUUGCUAUCAAUGGUGAGAGUGGCGCACGGGUGCGUAACGCGUGAGCAACCUGCCUCCAUCAGGGGGAUAGCCUCUCGAAAGAGAGAUUAACACCGCAUAAUAUCAACAGUUCGCAUGUUCAGUUGAUUAAAUAUUUAUAGGAUGGAGAUGGGCUCGCGUGACAUUAGCUAGUUGGUAGGGUAACGGCUUACCAAGGCGACGAUGUCUAGGGGCUCUGAGAGGAGAAUCCCCCACACGGGUACUGAGACACGGACCAGACUCCUACGGGAGGCAGCAGUAAGGAAUAUUGGGCAAUGGGCGGAAGCCUGAACCAGCCAUGCCGCGUGCAGGAUGACUGCCCUAUGGGUUGUAAACUGCUUUUGUCCAGGAAUAAACCUAAAUACGAGUAUUUAGCUGAAUGUACUGGAAGAAUAAGGAUCGGCUAACUCCGUG
Molecule: ribosomal RNA, 488 nt
Filed under: uncultured bacterium
Lineage: Bacteria
Description: partial 16S ribosomal RNA
Rfam family: Bacterial small subunit ribosomal RNA
Source: RNAcentral